CCACUUUAUGUAUCCAUAUCAAGCUUCUUACAAAGUGAUUCAUCCUGGUUUGAUUGGAACGACGAAGAAGCUGUCCUAUUCCCAAACAGGAUAACUAGAAUCACAUUAUUUGAAAGUGGGAUAACUUCUUCAUCCCAAUUCCUAUGAGAUUUAUUCAACAUCCUCGUGAUUCUCCACCACUUUAUCUAUCCAAAUCAAGCUACUUACAAAGUG
RNAcentral lists this long non-coding RNA (213 nucleotides) under Brassica napus (rape). Its description in RNAcentral is "long non-coding RNA (BNAP_LNC025988)". Lineage: Eukaryota; Viridiplantae; Streptophyta; Magnoliopsida; Brassicales; Brassicaceae. The record is from RNAcentral.